UGCCGGUCCCCCCGCAAUGAGCAGCUGUGAACUCCGCCAGGCCCGGAAGGGAGCAACGGUAGCAGUGCGCGCAUGUGCCGGGGUGUGGCUGGUAGGG
Molecule: signal recognition particle RNA, 97 nt
Filed under: Oceanospirillales bacterium LUC14_002_19_P2
Lineage: Bacteria; Pseudomonadati; Pseudomonadota; Gammaproteobacteria; Oceanospirillales
Description: Bacterial small signal recognition particle RNA
Rfam family: Bacterial small signal recognition particle RNA
About the family: The signal recognition particle (SRP) is a universally conserved ribonucleoprotein involved in the co-translational targeting of proteins to membranes. Archaeal SRP consists of a 7S RNA and homologues of the eukaryotic SRP19 and SRP54 proteins. In most bacteria, the SRP consists of a 4.5S RNA and the Ffh protein (a homologue of the eukaryotic SRP54 protein).
Source: Rfam by way of RNAcentral